Molecule: small RNA, 168 nt
Filed under: Drosophila willistoni
Lineage: Eukaryota; Metazoa; Arthropoda; Insecta; Diptera; Drosophilidae
Description: GK27302
Source: RNAcentral
GGCAAUAUUAAAGUAGAUAGUUAUAUAUAUCUUGGAAUUUUCCGGUACUUUUUAGGCGUGCUCCUAAGUUAACGCGCACAUCUUGGUCAAACGAUCCCAUCCCCCUUAUUAAACCAGUAUCCCCUCUGGGAAAUGCGUACACACGUUUUAAUUCUGCAAAUACUCGAA